Pelobates cultripes (western spadefoot toad) is the source of this 256-nucleotide non-coding RNA. NCBI's taxonomy places the organism in Eukaryota, Metazoa, Chordata, Amphibia, Anura, Pelobatidae. The record is from the annotation of a GenBank genome assembly.
AAUAAUUGUAUCUCAACCUCUAAAUUGAACUUUAAUCACAUACAGAAGGCUCUUGCAGGGUCUAGCAAGCUAUUAACAUAGCAGGGGAUAAGAAAAUCUUAAUUAAACAGAACUUGCAAUAAAGAAAGCCUAAAUAGGGCUCUCUUUACAGGAAGUGUUUAUGGAAGGCUGUGCAAGUCACAUGUAGGGAGGUGUGACUAGGGUUCACAAACAAAGGGAUUUAACUCCUAAAUGGCAGAGGAGUGAGUAGUGAGGC